This 529-nucleotide ribosomal RNA is filed under the name uncultured bacterium. Its description in RNAcentral is "bacterial SSU rRNA". It matches the Rfam family "Bacterial small subunit ribosomal RNA", at positions 989 to 1514 of the family's 1533-position model. The record is from RNAcentral.
UUAGGACUUUCAGAGAUGGAUUGGUGCUCGAAAGAGAACCGUAACACAGGGUGCUGCAUGGCUGUCGCCAGACUCGUGUCGUGAGAUGUUGGGUUAAGUCCCGCAACGAGCGCAACCCUUGCCAAUAAUUGCCAUCAUUUAGUUGGGCACUUUAUUGGGACUGCCGAUGACAAAUCGGAGGAAGGUGGGGAUGACGUCAAGUCCUCAUGGCCCUUAUGGCCAGGGCUUCACACGUAAUACAAUGGUCGGUACAGAGGGUUGCCAAGCCGCGAGGUGGAGCCAAUCCCAGAAAGCCGAUCGUAGUCCGGAUUGCAGGCUGCAACUCGCCUGCAUGAAGUCGGAAUCGCUAGUAAUCGCGGAUCAGCAUGUCGCGGUGAAUACGUUCCCGGGCCUCGUACACACCGCCCGUCACACCAUGGGAGUGGGUUUUACCAGAAGUAGGUAGUCUAACCGCAAGGAGGACGCUUACCACGGUAGUAUUUCAUGACUGGGGUGAAGUCGUCGUAACAAGGUAACCGUAAAUCACUUA